This 3502-nucleotide small RNA is filed under the name Pongo abelii (Sumatran orangutan). Its description in RNAcentral is "retained intron". The record is from RNAcentral. Lineage: Eukaryota; Metazoa; Chordata; Mammalia; Primates; Hominidae.
AGUGCGGAGGAGGCGCGGCAGGGGCACGGGCUGUUGUUGCAGGGCGGCAGGGCGGCCCAGACAGGACGCCUUGCCUCCUUUCUCUCCUACAACCGCUUUUUAAAAAUCUGUUUCUGUUUUUAGCAGCCGCUGCGGGCCUCGGCGUCCUCCACCUACGGGGAUGACCUGGCUUCUGUGGCCCCGAGGCAUUUACAGCAGGACGUGAAGCUGAAUGGAGCCGGCCUUGAGGUGGUGGACUCAGACCCUGAGCCUGAAGGGGAGGCGGAGGACAGGUAGCAGCUGGGCCCAACCCAGAAAACAGAGACAUAGGCUCAAUAUCUCCCCACCUCCCUCCCCUACCAACCUCCCCCGACGACCUGCCUCGACCCCCGUCCCCCGCGCCCCGACCCCCCACAGGUAGUGGGAGUGACUCAGGGUCAGAGGCUCAGAGUUCCUGGGGACAAAGUGGGACAUUCAUCCUCUCACCACCCUGGCCCACGCAACGCCCACCAGCGCACGCGCGUGUGUGUGUAUGUGUGCGCGCGUGUGUAUGUGUGUGUGUGUGCGCGCGUGUGUGUAUGUGUGUGUGCGCGCCCGCGCGCGCAUACGGUUCAAGGAUCCCUUAUCGGAAAUGCUUGGGACCAGCAGUGUUUCGGAUUUCAGAUUUUUUCAGAUUUCAGAAUGCUUGCAUUAUAUAGUUAGCUAAGGUUCAGCAUCCCUAAUCUAAAAAUCUGAAAUGCCCCAAUGAGCAUUGCCUUUGAGCACGUCAAGUCGCUGCUCAAAAAGAUUUGGAUUUUGGAACAUUUCAGAUUUAGGAUUUUUGGACUAGGGAAGUUUUGCCUGUAGUUAGCAGUGUGCGGUUUCCUCGUGGGCAGAUUUGUGUCAUCUCAACCAUAGUCAACAAACAGCCCAUCUGCACAGGAUCCUUCCAGCUGCUCUUCCAUAACUCAUCUCUACUCUCAACACCUGCAACCACUAAGCCAUUUUCCCCCCUACCCGUCUGUAAUUUUGUCAUUUCGAGAAUGCCAGGUAAAUGGAAUCAGAGUGGAUAAUCUUUGGAGCAUGAUUCCCUUGCAUUCACCUGUGAUGUUUCAUGUAUCCAUAGUUUAUUCUUUUUUUUAAUCUGGGCUCACUGCAAUCUCCGCCUCCCGGGUUCAAGCAAUUCUCCUGUCUCAGCCUCCCCAGCAGCUGGGAUUACAGGGGCCCGCCACCACGCCCGGCUAAUUUUUUUUGUAUUUUUAGUAGAGGCGGGGUUUCACCAUGUUGGCCAGGCUGGUCUUGAACUCUUGACGUCAGAUGAUCCACCCGCGUUGGCCUCCCAAAGCGCUGGUAUUGCAGGCAUGAGCCACCGUGCCCUGCCUAUUCUUAUUUUUGAAACGAGAUCUCACUGUAUGGCCCAGGCUGGAGCGUAGCGGUGUGGUCAUGGCUCACUGCAGCCUCGACCUCCUGAGCUCAAGUGAUCCUCUUGCCUCAGCCUCCUGAGUAGAUGGAUCACAGGAACACACUACCACCACGCCCAGCUAGUGUGUGUGUGUGUGUGUGUGUGUGUGUUAGAGAUGGGGUCUCUGUAUGUUACCCAAGCUGGAGUGCCAUAGCUGUUCAUAGACGUGAUCAUUGUGCACUGCAGCCUCAAACUCCUGGGCUCAAGCGAUCCUCCCAUCUCAGCCUCCCAAAGCUUUGGGAUUACAGGCAUCAGCCACUGUGCCCGGCCUGGAGUUUGUUCUUUUGUAUUGCUGGGUAGUGUUCUAUGGGUAGCUUUUCUAUUUGGUUGGUGGUCUGACACAAGCCACUCCCCUCUUACCGCACGUGGACACCCAGAGCCCAUCACUGUGGUCCACUGGAAGGGGAAAGGAGACAGAGUUGUGCAGUGCCAGGCCUGGGCCAUGUGUCCCCCUCCCAGUUGGGGUUCUGCCAUCUACAUGAGGAGGUGGCAGCUGGCCUGAGCCCCGUGGAGGUGGGUUCAGGAAAGGGGUGUGGGGUCCCAUCCCGAAGUCCUGGCAGCCCCAUAGGAAUCUUUCUCCUUCUCUCCUGGCCAGUCAGAGCGGCUUCUCUUCCUAACGGCUGCCCUGCUGAGAGCAGGACGACACCAUCCGGCUGCAUCCUGUCCCUAUCAGCCUGUGACUCUGCCUGGUGCGUGGGCAGACCUCAGCCCAGGUGACACCUGCCUCUAAAUGAACCCAAGGAACAGAAUGGCAGAGAUCUGCCCGUCCCUAGGAUGAGACUCUUGGGAGCCAGGUGUGGGCUCAGCAGUCACCGGUGUGGUGCAGGGGGUCCAGCUGGAGGUCCCUUGGGAGAUCCCCCACCUUCCCAGCUACAGCUGGAGCUCCAAGCACCCCAACCCCCCAGCCUUGGAGUUGGACAUCAUUUUCCUGGGGCCACGGCGGCUCCCACAGCCUGACAUUCUGUUCCCGGGAGAAGAAACGUUCCCAGAAAGCACUCAUGUGGCCAAAAGCCUCUUUCUGAGCAAACAGGAUGUGGACUAAAUUAGCAAAACAUCCAGCCCGUGGGCAACUUCAAAACGGAACAGGCUGCCUUUCUCUGAAACACAAAGCCCUGGCCUCCCUUUGGGGCACCCAGGACCCCGAAUUGCCCUAAGACUGUCCCAGCUCUCGAACCCUCUGCCUUCGCCCCCGGGGACCUCGGGCUCACAUCACAAGGCCCUGCGGGGAAGCAGAUGGCUCUCAGCAAAUGCACUUUCAGCUUCUGGCUGCCUGGGCUGGGUGACCCCGGUGCUUCCUUACCGUGAGUUCCUGAUGUCCUCGUGCCCAGAGGACCAGCCCAUUCCCAGGGCCCCCAGCCCGAGAACCUGCCUGCCUUGGGGGGCCCUGCCAGCUGCCUGCCACCAGCACCAGCAGACUUUGAUUCCCUUUUGUGACCCCUGGCACCUGCUUAUGUCUGCAUUUGCCCAUCUUCUCCGGGGUGGUAUUUAUUUCAGCCAACACCGUUCAGCCCUGAUCCCUGCCAGCACAGAGGCCCCUCGCUGCCUGUGAGGUCAAGGUCUGAGGCCACCCUGGCCGGUGGGUUCCCCACCCCUGGCCCCCAUCACCCUACAAGCGACAGGCCCUGUGGCUCCUUCCUCAGCCCAAGGCCCGGUGCCCAAUUGCUGUAGAGGAAGUUGUAAGAUAAAACCUCAUCUCCAGGGUCACGGCCGGGCCUCAGCCUCCUGCGGGCAGCAGGAACCUGGAAAGCAGCACCCAGAGUGCCAGCCCGUUCCACAGAUGGGGCCAGACUCCGGCCCCUCGGAGACAUAGUGGCAGGAUGGUGGGGGCGCAUGGGCCAGGGCUUCUGAGCCCCGUCUUCAUCUACAGCCCAGCCUUUCAGAGUGGUGGGAGGAGGGUUUAUGGAUGUCAAACACCUGCACCCUGAGAUAAUCCUACAACCACAUGCAGUUGUGGGACCACAGUUUGGUCCUGGGGACUAUUCAUACACACACCCAGCUUGUGCCUGUGGUUAACAUCUCAGAAAACGCUAGUAAAUGAUCACUCCAGGAUAUUGACACAAAUACAUGUUACUGAUCUUACUC